Molecule: non-coding RNA, 66 nt
Organism: Podarcis lilfordi (Lilford's wall lizard)
Lineage: Eukaryota; Metazoa; Chordata; Lepidosauria; Squamata; Lacertidae
Source: the annotation of a GenBank genome assembly
AGACCAACUAAGUUUGUUAUUGGUAUGAGCUUUCGUGCUCAUACCAGUAACAAACUUAGUUGGUCU